CAAGGAAUUUUGCGCAAUGGACGAAAGUCUGACGCAGCAACGCCGCGUGGGGGAUGAAGGCCCUCGGGUUGUAAACCCCUUUUGCGAGGGACGAAGAUCUGACGGUACCUCGCGAAUAAGCCACGGCUAACUACGUGCCAGCAGCCGCGGUAAUACGUAGGUGGCAAGCGUUGUCCGGAUUUACUGGGCGUAAAGCGCGCGCAGGCGGACUGAUCAGUCCGGGGUGAAAUCUCACGGCUCAACUGUGAGCGGUCCCCGGAUACUGUCAGUCUUGAGGUGUCUAGAGGAGAGCGGAAUUCCCGGUGUAGUGGUGGAAUGCGUAGAUAUCGGGAAGAACACCAGUGGCGAAAGCGGCUCUCUGGGGACCACCUGACGCUGAGGCGCGAAAGCGUGGGGAGCGAACCGG
RNAcentral lists this ribosomal RNA (406 nucleotides) under uncultured Chloroflexota bacterium. RNAcentral describes it as "bacterial SSU rRNA". It matches the Rfam family "Bacterial small subunit ribosomal RNA", at positions 355 to 776 of the family's 1533-position model. Lineage: Bacteria; Bacillati; Chloroflexota. The record is from RNAcentral.